This 2265-nucleotide ribosomal RNA is filed under the name human gut metagenome. RNAcentral describes it as "bacterial LSU rRNA". It matches the Rfam family "Bacterial large subunit ribosomal RNA", at positions 14 to 2142 of the family's 2925-position model. The record is from RNAcentral.
AGGGCGUAUGGUGGAUGCCUUGGCAGACAGGACCGAUGAAGGACGUUUGAGGCUGCGAUAUGCCUCGGGGAGCCGCCAACAGGGCUUUGAUCCGAGGAUUUCCGAAUGGGGGAACCCACCGACCGUCAUGGGUCGGUACCGGCUUCGGCCGGGGGGUACGCAGGGAAGUGAAACAUCUCAGUACCUGCAGGAAAGGAUAUUCCGUGAGUAGUGGCGAGCGAAAGCGGAUGAUGGCCAAACCUUGCGCGUGUGAUACCCGUCGGGGGUUGCGCGCGGGGUGUUGCGGGAUCGCGUGCGCCGGCUCCGACGGGCCGGCCGGCAGUUGCAGAAAACCAUGUGUCAGGGGAACCGGGUUGAAUACCGGGCCGCAGAGGGUGAGGGCCCCGUACCUGAACGCGCAUGGUCUGCCGAUCGCGUCUCCCAAGUAGCACGGGUCCCGUGGAACCCCGUGCGAAUCCGCCCAGACCGUUGGGUAAGCCUGAAUAUUCCUGUCUGACCGAUAGCGAACGAGUACCGUGAGGGAAAGGUGAAAAGUACCCCGGGAGGGGAGUGAAACAGUCUCUGAAACCGUGCGCCUACAAUCCGUCGGAGCCCUUUUGUGGGGUGACGGCGUGCCUAUCGAAAAAUGAGUCUGCGAGUCAGUGGCAUGUGGCGAGCAUAACCCGUGUGGGGUAUGCGUAGCGAAGGCGAGUCUUAAAAGGCGUUUGAGUCGCGUGUCCUGGACCCGAAGCGGGAUGAUCUAGCCCUGAGCAGGUUGAAGCGCGGGUAAGACCGCGUGGAGGACCGAACCCACCUGGGUUGAAAACCGGGGGGAUGACUUGGGGCUAGGGGUGAAAGGCCAAUCAAAUUCCGUGAUAGCUGGUUCUCUCCGAAAUGCAUUUGGGUGCAGCGUCGGGUCAUUACGUCCCGGGGGUAGAGCUACUGGAUGCUUGCGGGCCCGUAUCGGGUACCAACAGCAACCAAACUCCGAAUACCGGUGACGCGUAUCCCGGCAGUGAGUCGGCGGGGGAUAAGCUUCGUCGUCGAAAGGGAAACAGCCCAGACCGUCGUCUAAGGUCCCGAAGCGUGUGCUAAGUGGGAAAGGAUGUGGAGUCGCAUAGACAGCCAGGAGGUUGGCUCAGAAGCAGCCACCCUUGAAAGAGUGCGUAACAGCUCACUGGUCUAGUGGUUCCGCGCCGACAAUGUAGCGGGGCUCAAGCACACCACCGAAGACGCGGCAGUAUUUUGUACUGGGUAGGAGAGCGUCCCAUGAGGGGCGAAGCGGCCGUGUGAACGCGCCGUGGACUUCAUGGGAGUGAGAAUGCAGACAUGAGUAGCGAGAGACGGGUGAAGAUCCCGUCCGCUGGAUGACCAAGGGUUCCAGGGCCACGUUCAUCGUCCCUGGGUGAGUCGGGUCCUAAGGCGAGGCCGACAGGCGUAGUCGAAUGGAUGAACGGGUCGAUAUUCCCGUACCGGCUUUCAGCCGCCAAAACCGAGGCUUGGAGUACUAACCUCCGGGUCCGGGCUUACUGCUCCUUCGGGGGCGGGAUGCCCUGGCCUGUUGGGACCGAUCCUUGUAGUAGGUCAGCGCAGGAGUGACGCAGAAGGGUAGCCGGCCGCGGAGGUGGUCUUCCGUGGUCAAGCACGCAGGGCGUGGGACAGGCAAAUCCGUCCCGCAUGGGUCCGAGGUGCGAUGAUGGGGGCCUUAUGGCCCGAUAUCCGGUGAUCCCGGCUGCCGAGAAAAGCUUCGGCGUCAGGCUCGAAGCCGCCCGUACCCCAAACCGACACUGGUGGUCAGGUAGAGAAUACCAAAGCGAUCGAGCGAAUCCUGGUCAAGGAACUCGGCAAAUCACUCCCGUUCCUUCGGUUUAAGGGAGACCCCCGAUGGUGAACACACUUGCUGUGGGAGCUUUUGGGGGUGGCACAGACCAGGGGGUAGCGACUGUUUACCAAAAACACAGGUGCAUGCGAAGGCGCAAGCCGCUGUAUAUGCACUGACGCCUGCCCGGUGCCGGAAGGUUAAGAGGAUCCGUCAGCCUUCGGGUGAAGCGGUGAAUUCAAGCCCCGGUAAACGGCGGUGGUAACUAUAACCAUCCUAAGGUAGCGAAAUUCCUUGUCGGGUAAGUUCCGACCUGCACGAAUGGCGUAACGACUUCCCCACUGUCUCGACCAGGAGCUCGGCGAAAUUGCAGUACGAGUAAAGAUGCUCGUUAAGCGCAGAAGGACGAAAAGACCCCGGGACCUUUACUAUACCUUGGUAUUGGCAUUCGGUGUGGAUUGUGUAGC